Molecule: ribosomal RNA, 383 nt
Filed under: uncultured bacterium
Lineage: Bacteria
Description: bacterial SSU rRNA
Rfam family: Bacterial small subunit ribosomal RNA
Source: RNAcentral
GACGAACGCUGGCGGCGUGCUUAACACAUGCAAGUCGAGCGGUAAGGCCCUUUCGGGGGUACACGAGCGGCGAACGGGUGAGCAACACGUGGGUGACCUGCCCUCAGCUCUGGGAUAAGCCUGGGAAACCGGGUCUAAUACCGGAUAUGACUCCAUGACGCAUGUUGUGGGGUGGAAAGCCUUGUGCGGCUGAGGAUGGGCCCGCGGCCUAUCAGCUUGUUGGUGGGGNGAUGGCCUACCAAGGCGACGACGGGUAGCCGGCCUGAGAGGGCGACCGGCCACACUGGGACUGAGACACGGCCCAGACUCCUACGGGAGGCAGCAGUGGGGAAUCUUGCGCAAUGGGCGAAAGCCUGACGCAGCGACGCCGCGUGAGGGAUGAC